GACGAACGCUGGCGGCGUGCUUAACACAUGCAAGUCGAACGGUGAAGCGCUUUCCUUUUUGGUUGGUGUGGAUGAGUGGCGAACGGGUGAGUAACACGUGAGUAACCUGCCCCCUUCUUCUGGAUAACCGCAUGAAAGUGUGGCUAAUACGGGAUAUUCUGCGCCUGCUGCAUGGUGGGUGUGGGAAAGAUUGUGCCUUUGGGUGUUUUCGGUGGGGGAUGGGCUCGCGGCCUAUCAGCUUGUUGGUGGGGUGAUGGCCUACCAAGGCGGUGACGGGUAGCCGGCCUGGGGGGGUGGACGGUCACACUGGGACUGAGACACGGCCCAGACUCCUACGGGAGGCAGCAGUGGGGAAUAUUGCACAAUGGGCGCAAGCCUGAUGCAGCGACGCCGCGUGAGGGAGGGAGGCCUUCGGGUUGUGAACCUCUUUCGCCAGUGAAGCAGGCCUGCUCCUUGUGGGUGGGUUGACGGUAGCUGGAGAAGAAGCGCCGGCUAACUACGUG
RNAcentral lists this ribosomal RNA (503 nucleotides) under uncultured bacterium. RNAcentral describes it as "partial 16S ribosomal RNA". It matches the Rfam family "Bacterial small subunit ribosomal RNA", at positions 28 to 507 of the family's 1533-position model. The record is from RNAcentral.